GGCGUGCCUUUUGUAGAAUGAACCGGCGAGUUACGAUUUGAUGCAAGGUUAAGCAGUAAAUGUGGAGCCGUAGCGAAAGCGAGUCUGAAUAGGGCGUUUAGUAUUUGGUCGUAGACCCGAAACCAGGUGAUCUACCCUUGGUCAGGUUGAAGUUCAGGUAACACUGAAUGGAGGACCGAACCGACUUACGUUGAAAAGUGAGCGGAUGAACUGAGGGUAGCGGAGAAAUUCCAAUCGAACCUGGAGAUAGCUGGUUCUCUCCGAAAUAGCUUUAGGGCUAGCCUCAAGUGAUGAUUAUUGGAGGUAGAGCACUGUUUGGACGAGGGGCCCCUCUCGGGUUACCGAAUUCAGACAAACUCCGAAUGCCAAUUAAUUUAACUUGGGAGUCAGAACAUGGGUGAUAAGGUCCGUGUUCGAAAGGGAAACAGCCCAGACCACCAGCUAAGGUCCCAAAAUAUAUGUUAAGUGGAAAAGGAUGUGGCGUUGCCCAGACAACUAGGAUGUUGGCUUAGAAGCAGCCAUCAUUUAAAGAGUGCGUAAUAGCUCACUAGUCGAGUGACACUGCGCCGAAAAUGUACCGGGGCUAAACAUAUUACCGAAGCUGUGGAUUGUCCUUUGGACAAUGGUAGGAGAGCGUUCUAAGGGCGUUGAAGCAUGAUCGUAAGGACAUGUGGAGCGCUUAGAAGUGAGAAUGCCGGUGUGAGUAGCGAAAGACGGGUGAGAAUCCCGUCCACCGAUUGACUAAGGUUUCCAGAGGAAGGCUCGUCCGCUCUGGGUUAGUCGGGUCCUAAGCUGAGGCCGACAGGCGUAGGCGAUGGAUAACAGGUUGAUAUUCCUGUACCACCUAUAAUCGUUUUAAUCGAUGGGGGGACGCAGUAGGAUAGGCGAAGCGUGCGAUUGGAUUGCACGUCUAAGCAGUAAGGCUGAGUAUUAGGCAAAUCCGGUACUCGUUAAGGCUGAGC
This 962-nucleotide ribosomal RNA is filed under the name Staphylococcus aureus. RNAcentral describes it as "partial 23S ribosomal RNA". It matches the Rfam family "Bacterial large subunit ribosomal RNA", at positions 598 to 1561 of the family's 2925-position model. Lineage: Bacteria; Bacillati; Bacillota; Bacilli; Caryophanales; Staphylococcaceae. The record is from RNAcentral.